Molecule: transfer RNA, 92 nt
Filed under: Gammaproteobacteria bacterium
Lineage: Bacteria; Pseudomonadati; Pseudomonadota; Gammaproteobacteria
Also listed under: 2 other names
Description: tRNA-Ser
Rfam family: tRNA
About the family: Transfer RNA (tRNA) molecules are approximately 80 nucleotides in length.
Source: RNAcentral
GGAGAGAUGGCCGAGCGGCUGAAGGCGCUCCCCUGCUAAGGGAGUAUACGGUUUAUCCCGUAUCGAGGGUUCGAAUCCCUCUCUCUCCGCCA